GCACCCGUAGCUCAAUUGGAUAGAGCAUCUGACUUCGGAUCAGAGGGUUGGGGGUUCGAGUCCCUCCGGGUGUGCAA
This 77-nucleotide transfer RNA is filed under the name Bacteroidetes/Chlorobi group bacterium Naka2016. RNAcentral's name for it is "tRNA-Arg". It matches the Rfam family "tRNA". From Rfam's summary of the family: Transfer RNA (tRNA) molecules are approximately 80 nucleotides in length. The record is from RNAcentral. Lineage: Bacteria; Pseudomonadati. RNAcentral also lists the same sequence under 1 other name.